GGGACCCCGAACCGAGCGGGAGCUGCCGGGCGCCCGGGACCGUAGCCCCGCGCGGGCCCCGGACCCGCUCCUGAAGCGGGCGGGCGCGGCCAGCGUGCAGCGACGAACACCCUGGUGCUGCCGGUCUCAAGCCUUUUCUGCCCCCGGGUCCUGGAGCUGACCCAGGUGCUGCGUGGACACCGGCUUCAGGAGGGAGCCGAUCCCCGGCUUCUUGGCGGGAUGAGACGGGGGUGGCGGGGAGGGCAGAGAAGGGGGCACUGGCUGCUGCCCCCUCAGAAGUCUGCUGGAUUUUGGUCAUAACUAAAACGGGCCGCCCCAGAGGCCUGUGUACCCCGAGAGGACCUCGGCGUGGACAGUAUGUUCUCAACACAAACCAGCCAAUGUUUCCAGCACUUACUGAUCGAUAUUUCUGAUGACUCCAUGAGGCAUCAAAGAAACCAGAUCCACUUCUCCUGGUCACCAAGAGGAAUUGUGAAUUGCUUUUCGGCUCCAGAGGCUGCUCUCCGGGAAGGCGUCGGGGUGUAAGAGUGUGAUCUGGUUGUGAACUAUGGUCCUGUGCAGCCCCCACCUGAGCCUUUUCAAGGUUCUCAUUGACACUGCUACAGUGCUCUGUCUCAGGCCAAGGAUGGUUGAGAAGGAACUGAGGGUGUCGGAUCUUGUGCACGUUAGAUGAGGCACCAACGGUGCUGCGAGAUGAUCACUGUGCGCGUGUGACCCAGACAGACACUGCUACCGAAAAUCUCUGAUCAAUGGCACUGGGACCCCCGCAGGAGGACACAUCUCGAAGAAUCUCAGCAACUGCACAGGGUGUUGUCCCGCGUGUUCUUGGACCUUGCUGCCUCGGAAAAGCUGAAUAAACUCUGAAUAGAGUUGGCUUUCUGUGAGCCUGCAGCCAAUGUGGAACUUGUACUUGGCACACUCAACAUUUUCUCGGAACUUUCUUUUGACUUGAAGGAGCUCUCCCCUGUAAGGACUGAGGUGGAGGCAGCUGAGGUAGAGGCAUCCUCUUCUGUAGCAGAGUUUGGCAUUGUCUCCAGAGUUUCUCCUGAACUUUGAGACCCUGGCGGAGAACUCUGACGUGGUGCUUUGAGCCUACCCUCAUCAUCAGUAUCCUCCAGGCUCUCCAUUCCCAAAUGGAAAGACUCUGUUUUCUCUGAUGUUCUGGCAUCUUGUGGUACCUCUUCCCCCGCUUCAAAAGCCAACUCUGCUUGCCCUCCCUGAGACUUUGUGGUUGCAUUGCUGUACUCGUCCGCCUCCAGACCACUUUGCUUUCCUUCAGGUGGGCCUUCUGUGUCCACACCAUCACAACUGUCUCCCUCAGAGCUGUGAACCGCCCUGCUGCUUCUGGCUGAAGGAGAGUCACUUGAUCCAGCCUGGCUCUGACUUCCUGCUUGGAUUUCUUCAAUGAACAGCUCUCGACGGAUGCGAGAUCUAGAAGACACGAUAACAGAACGAUAAAUUUGGUGCUAGCCAUUCAUAAUCAUAGACCACAGUAAUAUGGUCCAACUUACAAAGUCCAUAUCCAUAUAGAAACUCUCCCAAAGUGCAACAGGAAGAGAAAGGGGAUGUCUGGAUCUGGGUUUUGAUUUGCACCCCAUUUUUACUUUGGGUAAUACUCACAACAUGCCAAAAUUUAAGAGAUUUAAAGAGAAGUUGAUCCAAUAAAAGAUAUUACCUCACUCACUUUGUCUCUCUAAUAUCCUGGAACCAACACGGCUACACCACCACUGCAUAUAUAAUUGUUGUAAAUCUGAUUCCUUCCGACUGUUCAGUUCAAUAAUUACCUCACACUCUAUGCAAAGAGUGUAAAUUUAACUUUCGUACAGGUAACAGAAUUGUUCUAGAAUGACAGUGUGUUAAAUCAUAAAUAGACUUUCUAGUUUAGUUAAAACAAUACUUGUUGCUGUUAGGAUAUAGAUAUUCAGGCCAGUCUGCAAAGGCCUGUACUUUAAGAAUUUAGGUGUAUUCUUAUCACUUGGCUAGUUCUAGAGGUAUAAAAGAAAGAAUCAAAAUCACUGUCUGCUGGUGUAAGGGCCUUCUCUUACUGUGACAGUCUGGGCCCUGUUCUUAGGCUAAGGCCUUUGGCUAAGCAGCAGAGGCAGCCAUAAGCUGGGAAGUGAACAGUCACAUCCUCACAUUCCAACCUAGUCACAUUGAAAUAAGGUGCUAUUGGGCUGUUAGGCACUAUCAGGACAGAAUUGUAUUCUUAUCACCUCCAGAGAAAGGGAAGUGCCUAGAAAAUGUAAAAGGAAACUUAGUUUGAUAGCAUCCUGUCUGGCAAGAACUCACUUAUCAAUAGCUGGGAUGUGAAAUCCUCACUUCUAUAUUGUCUUGUCAUUAUAGUUCCCACUUUGCUAUUGUUUGUCUGUAUAAUCUCUGUCUGGUUCUGUGAUUGUUCCUGUCUGCUAUAUAAUUAAUUUUGCUGGGUGUAAACCAAUUAAGGUGGUGGGAUAUAAUUGGUUACAUAAUCAUGUUACAAUAUGUUAGGAUUGGUUAGUUAAAUUUCAGGAAAAUGAUUGGUUAAGGUAUAGCUAAGCAGAACUCAAGUUUUACUAUAUAAUCUGUAGUCAAGGAGGAAGUAGGUGGGUGUGGGUGAGGGAAAUGGGAGCAGGGAAUGGGGGUAAGAAAAUUGGAAUCAUGUUUUGCUAAAGGGGAAAUGGGAACAGGGAAUGGGAAUAAGGAAGUUGGAAUCAUGUUUGGCUAAGGGUAGGAAUGGGAACAGGGACACAGGUGUAAGGCUCUGUGGUGUCAGAGCUGGGAAGGAGGAUACUAAGGAAGGAAACUGGAAUCAUGCUUGCUGGAAGUUCACCCCAAUAAACAUCGAAUUGUUUGCACCUUUGGAA
Long non-coding RNA from Caretta caretta (loggerhead turtle), 2843 nucleotides. RefSeq lists it as uncharacterized. The record is from RefSeq and is a predicted model, not a curated record. NCBI's taxonomy places the organism in Eukaryota, Metazoa, Chordata, Testudines, Cheloniidae.